GCCAUGAUGCCCGAGUGGUCUAAGGGGAAUGACUUAAGAUCAUUUGAACGUCUGUUCGCGUGGGUUCAAACCCCACUCAUGGCA
This 84-nucleotide transfer RNA is filed under the name Guillardia theta CCMP2712. RNAcentral describes it as "tRNA GUITHDRAFT_t124". It matches the Rfam family "tRNA". Rfam says of the family: Transfer RNA (tRNA) molecules are approximately 80 nucleotides in length. Their secondary structure includes four short double-helical elements and three loops (D, anti-codon, and T loops). Further hydrogen bonds mediate the characteristic L-shaped molecular structure. tRNAs have two regions of fundamental functional importance: the anti-codon, which is responsible for specific mRNA codon recognition, and the 3' end, to which the tRNAs corresponding amino acid is attached (by aminoacyl-tRNA synthetases). tRNAs cope with the degeneracy of the genetic code in two manners: having more than one tRNA (with a specific anti-codon) for a particular amino acid; and 'wobble' base-pairing, i.e. permitting non-standard base-pairing at the 3rd anti-codon position. Lineage: Eukaryota; Cryptophyceae; Pyrenomonadales; Geminigeraceae. The record is from Rfam by way of RNAcentral.